This 253-nucleotide ribosomal RNA is filed under the name uncultured bacterium. RNAcentral describes it as "partial 16S ribosomal RNA". It matches the Rfam family "Bacterial small subunit ribosomal RNA", at positions 524 to 776 of the family's 1533-position model. The record is from RNAcentral.
UACGAAGGGGGCAAGCGUUGUCCGGAUUUAUUGGGCGUAAAGAGCGUGUAGGCGGUUAGGUAGGUCCGUUGUGAAAACUCGAGGCUCAACCUCGAGACGCCGAUGGAAACCAUCUAACUAGAGUCCGGAAGAGGAGAGUGGAAUUCCUGGUGUAGCGGUGAAAUGCGCAGAUAUCAGGAAGAACACCCGUGGCUAAGGCGGCUCUCUAGUACGGUACUGACGCUGAGACGCGAAAGCGUGGGGAGCGAACAGG